RNAcentral lists this long non-coding RNA (239 nucleotides) under Capsicum annuum. RNAcentral's name for it is "long non-coding RNA (CANN_LNC007226)". Lineage: Eukaryota; Viridiplantae; Streptophyta; Magnoliopsida; Solanales; Solanaceae. The record is from RNAcentral.
UUACGGAUUCCCCUAAGUGGAUUUAAUAUGGUAACUGGAAGGGCACCUGAGGUUUCCCUGUACCUACAUGUGGUUGGUUAUGGAUAGUACUUGCAAGUAUGGUUGGUAUGAUCAUACCACUACUAGAUGGCCUUGGUUCAAUAAUGGUAAGUUGAUUUCUAGGAAAUAGUUUUAAUUGGGCAUUAAAGGGGGAGCUGUAGCUAAACUGUGGAAGGUAGAGGUCCUGCGGAGACCAAAUC